GAGGAGGAUGAGGAGGAGGAGAUGAGAGAGGGAGGAGCGUACAGGUACCCACCACCUUGUCAACGAUGAAGCAGGAGGCUUGCACCCACCGCCACACUGCUGGAGGAGGGGGCCUGCCAUCUACUAGAUUACAUGCCAAAAAGUGGUUGGAAGCACGGGAGUCGCGUGAGAAGUGCACGCAAGAGAGGAACAUGGUCGAUAAACCUGGAACCAUGCUCCGAGGACUUCUGCUCUGCAAGUGAAGGCCACAAACAUGGGGGGAGAAGAAACAACGACCAUUGGACAUCUGAAGAGGUGAAAGAGCUAGUAGAUGGUGUAUCUGUCUACGGGGUUGGACAGUGGACUAAAUUGAAGAAUGAAAGGUUUCCGAUAUCAGUUCGAACGGCCGAGCAUCUUAAGGAUAAAUGGAGAAACCUGUUGAAAGCCUACACGGGAAAUGUGAAAAGAAGGAUCUCGCCUCCUCUAGAUAAGGAUUGUGUCGAAAAGAUCCAGAGGCUAGCAGCUGAUUACCCUCGAAAAUGA
RNAcentral lists this ribosomal RNA (522 nucleotides) under Triticum aestivum (bread wheat). RNAcentral describes it as "partial small subunit ribosomal RNA". Lineage: Eukaryota; Viridiplantae; Streptophyta; Magnoliopsida; Poales; Poaceae. The record is from RNAcentral.